CCUACGGGAGGCAGCAGUGGGGAAUAUUGCACAAUGGGGGAAACCCUGAUGCAGCGACGCCGCGUGAGUGAAGAAGUAUUUCGGUAUGUAAAGCUCUAUCAGCAGGGAAGAUAAUGACGGUACCUGACUAAGAAGCCCCGGCUAACUACGUGCCAGCAGCCGCGGUAAUACGUAGGGGGCAAGCGUUAUCCGGAUUUACUGGGUGUAAAGGGAGCGUAGGUGGCAGGGCAAGUCAGAUGUGAAAACCCGGGGCUCAACCCCGGGAGUGCAUUUGAAACUGUCCAGCUGGGGUGCAGGAGAGGUAAGCGGAAUUCCUAGUGUAGCGGUGAAAUGCAGAGAUAUUAGGAGGAACACCAGUGGCGAAGGCGGCUUACUGGACUGUAACUGACACUGAGGCUCGAAAGCGUGGGGAGCAAACAGGAUUAGAUACCCCUGUAGUC
RNAcentral lists this ribosomal RNA (440 nucleotides) under uncultured bacterium. RNAcentral describes it as "partial 16S ribosomal RNA". It matches the Rfam family "Bacterial small subunit ribosomal RNA", at positions 338 to 795 of the family's 1533-position model. The record is from RNAcentral.